Long non-coding RNA from Cheilinus undulatus (humphead wrasse), 705 nucleotides. RefSeq lists it as uncharacterized. The transcript is spliced from 4 exons. The record is from RefSeq and is a predicted model, not a curated record. Lineage: Eukaryota; Metazoa; Chordata; Actinopteri; Labriformes; Labridae.
AGCUGAGCUGUUAGCAUUAGCAAGCAUGAGCGUUGGUAAUGUUUACAUUACUAUAUCUGACAUACUGACGAGCCUUCUACGCUAUUAAUGGAGCCAUGAGCCACUCAGCCCGUCCCGUUUUACCAAAAGAAAAUUUAUGAGACUCACUGUGGGUUCUACAGUCCCAGGUAACACACUCUCCAUAAAAUGAUGUGUGUAUGUGAGCGUGUCAGAGACUCUUACAGUAAGAGGCGAGCUCCACAUUACUGUUGCUCCACUUCACUUCCUGGGAUAAUCCUUAACACAACAGAGGGAGCUGCAGGUGACCUGGACCAGCAGAGAUACACAAACUUUGGUCAAGGCACUUCAGCCUCCCCCUGCAGCCACAAUGAUUAAAACUUCUCGCCGUAAGACGGCAGCCAGCAGGAAUACCAAACAAUCAAAACAGGCAACAAUAUCUCCCAAAAUGUUUGGAGUCCUGAGAGCGGGUGUGGCCGUGCAAAGGUUGUCUCCAUGGUAAUAGAUGCGGGGGUCAUCUCCUACGAGGAUGGAUCAUCGCAGGGGGGUGGAGAGGUGGCCGCCAAGGUCGCGGACCAAGGACAAGGCGAGAGUGAUUGCAGCCACCCAGACAGGAAAUCGAAGAGGAGCACUCCAAGUGGGGGGUCGAGGAAAAAGGUGCAAUUUCACAAGCCAAAUUACUUCUGGGAUGGAGGAGAGAAAAAUAUC